Molecule: transfer RNA, 132 nt
Filed under: Paractinoplanes abujensis
Lineage: Bacteria; Bacillati; Actinomycetota; Actinomycetes; Micromonosporales; Micromonosporaceae
Description: tRNA-OTHER
Rfam family: tRNA
About the family: Transfer RNA (tRNA) molecules are approximately 80 nucleotides in length. Their secondary structure includes four short double-helical elements and three loops (D, anti-codon, and T loops).
Source: RNAcentral
GGGUCGCUAGCUCAACGGCAGAGCGUCCGGCUGAUCAGCAUGUCCGCCCACCGCUCGCGCGGCCAUGGACACGCUUCCUUCUCAUUCUUGUGGGACCGGAAGGUUCGGGGGUUCGAGUCCCCCGGCGACCCC